UUUCCGUAGGUGAACCUGCGGAAGGAGCAUUAUUGUAUAACCGAGGUACAAGGGCUGUCGCUGACCCGAAAGGACGUGCACGCCCGAGGGCCCUCACACACAUCCAUCUCACCCCUAUGUGCACCACCGCGUGGGUCCCCCUUUGGCUUGUUCGGAGGGGGGCUUACGUUUUCACACAAACUUUGUAUGCAGUGUAGAAUGUAUUUUUUGUUUUUGCGAUCACGCAAUCAAUACAACUUUCAACAACGGAUCUCUUGGCUCUC
Molecule: unclassified non-coding RNA, 263 nt
Filed under: plant metagenome
Description: partial contains small subunit ribosomal RNA, internal transcribed spacer 1, and 5.8S ribosomal RNA
Source: RNAcentral